GAUGAACGCUGGCGGCGUGCCUAAUACAUGCAAGUCGAGCGAACAGACGAGGAGCUUGCUCCUCUGACGUUAGCGGCGGACGGGUGAGUAACACGUGGAUAACCUACCUAUAAGACUGGGAUAACUUCGGGAAACCGGAGCUAAUACCGGAUAAUAUAUUGAACCGCAUGGUUCAAUAGUGAAAGACGGUUUUGCUGUCACUUAUAGAUGGAUCCGCGCCGCAUUAGCUAGUUGGUAAGGUAACGGCUUACCAAGGCAACGAUGCGUAGCCGACCUGAGAGGGUGAUCGGCCACACUGGAACUGAGACACGGUCCAGACUCCUACGGGAGGCAGCAGUAGGGAAUCUUCCGCAAUGGGCGAAAGCUUGACGGAGCAACGCCGCGUGAGUGAUGAAGGUCUUCGGAUCGUAAAACUCUGUUAUUAGGGAAGAACAAAUGUGUAAGUAACUAUGCACGUCUUGACGGUACCUAAUCAGAAAGCCACGUCUAACUACGUG
RNAcentral lists this ribosomal RNA (497 nucleotides) under uncultured bacterium. Its description in RNAcentral is "partial 16S ribosomal RNA". It matches the Rfam family "Bacterial small subunit ribosomal RNA", at positions 28 to 507 of the family's 1533-position model. The record is from RNAcentral.